AGCUCUCUAUAUCCGUGCUGAGAUUUCGUCACACAUCAGACCACAAGGGCUGAUGAGACUUCCAAGAUAAGUGAAGCG
This 78-nucleotide microRNA precursor is filed under the name Schistosoma margrebowiei. RNAcentral's name for it is "mir-3492 microRNA precursor family". It matches the Rfam family "mir-3492 microRNA precursor family". The record is from Rfam by way of RNAcentral. Lineage: Eukaryota; Metazoa; Platyhelminthes; Trematoda; Strigeidida; Schistosomatidae.